Long non-coding RNA from Macrobrachium nipponense, 2870 nucleotides. RefSeq lists it as uncharacterized. The transcript has 2 exons. Lineage: Eukaryota; Metazoa; Arthropoda; Malacostraca; Decapoda; Palaemonidae. The record is from RefSeq and is a predicted model, not a curated record.
CCUGCCAGGCUGUCAUGUUAUCUCUUAAAGUGUUUGUUUCGCUUCAGGGCUUAGAAGGUGAGCUGACUGAGCUCGGUUCCCCAGAUAUUUGCCGAGUGUUAUUAGUGUUGAUCUUUACGUUAUUUUCCCUCGGUAUUAUCGACCUCAUAAAUAAAGGGGGAGCUCAAACAAAUGGGAGGUGUCCUAAAAUUUCCAGUGGAAGGAAGGAAGGAGAGAAAUCUGAAGAGGCACAAAUUUGUGCUGUGUGUCACUUCAGCUUGUUCAACUGCCGGUGCUUAUAUGUACUCAUUUUAAAAAUAGUCAGCUUGGACUACAAAAUUAAGCCAGUGUGAAAUACUUGACAAUGUUUAUAGCACUGGGGGACCAAUAGUCAUUAAAGUCCUACACCCUUAAUUUUAUAACACUAAACUGCAACAGGGAAGACAAACCUGUCCCGACUAAAUCUGCAAGCUGACUUUGAUCUUGGAGACAUGUCUUGGAAAACCAUUAAACCUCGAAAGGAAAGACAAACCUGCCCAUCUGACAGACUUUGAUCUCAGAGACACAUCUUGAAGCUAAAGUAAUCAAAGUGGAUGCUACAAUGUGCAAGAAUUUUCCAAGCAUGUGAAGCAUUUAAAAGUAUUCAACAGGAAAGACAAACCUGCCCUACUGAAUCUGCAAGCUGACCGACUUUGAUCUCGGAGACACAUCUUGAAGCUAAAAGUGGAUGCUACAAUGUGCAAGAAUUUUCCAAGCAGGUGAAGCAUUCAAAAGUAUUCGACAGGGAAGACAAACCUGCACUACAGAAUCUGCAAACUGACCGACUUUGAUCUCGGAGACACAUCUGAAGCUAAAGUAAUCAAAGUGGAUGUUAGUGCUAAAUCCUGAACACUAACAAGAAUUAUCUGAAGACUAAAUUAACCUGAUUAAACUUGGAUCUAUUCCUAGUCAUCAAAUCUGUAAACUAGCUUGAAAAUCUAUUGUACAGAUGUCAUAAUUCCGAAGUUCGACUAUCAAGAAUUGUGCCAAUUGACAACUUGGCUCUUGAACUUGGUCAAGAAUUGUGUUGAUUGAGCUUAGUAGCUCACCAUCAAGAAUUGUGCCGAUUGAGCUUGGCUCUCGUAACCCAGGAGCUCUACCAUUCAAGGCUGAGUGUGCUGAUGCUGAUUAAACUUGGCUCUAUUCCUAGUCAUCAAGUCUGUGAACUAGCUUGAACAUCAAUAUUGUACUGAUGUUAUGACCCCAGAGCUCGACCAAGAAUUGUGCUGAUUGUGCUUGGCUUUUAUAACCCAGGAGCUCGACCAUUAUGACUACUGAUUAAACUUGGCUCUGUUCCUGGUUAUCAAGUCUGUGAACUAGCUUGAACAUUAAUAUUGUACUGAUGUUAUAAUUAAGAAGCUGUACAUAAUCCAGGAGCUCGACCAUCAAGAAUUGUGCUGAUUGAGCUUGGCUCUUUUAAUCCAGGACCUUAACCAUUUGACACUGCUGGUUAAACUUGACUCUGUUCCUGGUCAUCAAGUCUGUGAACUAGCUUGAACAUCAAUAUUGUACUGAUGUUAUAAUCCAGAGGCUGUGGUUAUUAAACUUGAUUCUAUUCUAUUUGUGGUCAUCAAGUCUGUGAACUAGUUUGAACACAAUGUUGUACUGAUGAUAUAAUCCAGAAGCUCUACUAUCAAUAACUGUGCUGAUUGAACUUGGCUCUACUCCUGGUUAUCAAGUCUGAAUAAGAAGACGACUACUUGUGAUCAACCCAACAGUUUGUUACAGCCAGUAUUCCUGGUUAUCAAGUCUGACUGAAUAAGCUAAAUAAGAAUUGUGAUCAACCCUGAACUGUUUGUUACAUCCAACAGGGCUCUACUCCUGGUUUUCAAGUCUGAAUAAGCAGAAUAAGACUUGUGAUCAGCCCAACAGUUUGUUACAUCCAGUAUUCCUGGUUAUCAAGUCUGAAUGGAAUAAGCUGAAUAAGAAUUGUGAUCAACCCUGAACUGUUUGUUAUAUCCAAUAGUGAUAAGAAUUGUCAAAAGAUUCAGGUUUAAAACUAAGAUGUACUGUCAUACAUUGAGAAGUUAGUAACCUAACCUAAAGUACUGUGUUGUUCUAUACGUGCAGAGAAGCUAAACUCACAGACAUGUUGACGAGGAAAGAUGUGCCGAGUAGGUGACAUUAUGUUGUCAUCUCACAUGAAAAUAAGCCAAACCCAUGUUCAAGGUAUACGAGAAGACUUGGCGUCUGCUUCGUCUACUUUGAUGCAACUUGGUGUUGCUCUGCUUUGUCUGCUUUAAUGCAACUUAGUGUUGCUUGUGGCUUUAAGUAUGAAAACCCAAGGAGCAGGUGUUUGCUUCAAUGUCAGUUUUGAAACAGAAGGAAAACUGAAAAUUUGGGGAAGCUGUAUGUGCCUGUGCCAACAUAUCCAGACUCAUGAAUACCAUGCCAUCAUAAACUGAGAAGUCAAGCUCAAUACUGGACUGCCAUUCAAGUUUACUUGCAGAGACCCCAAACUUCUGAACAUACAAAACACUAAACUGGAUUAUUGCCACUCAAGUUUACUUGAAGAGACCUCUUCAACUCCUGAACAUAAAUGAAGAGAUGUAAAACACUUCACUGUAGUAUUGCCAAAUGAAGAGAUGUAAAACACUUUACUGUAGUAUUGCCCUGAAGUCUAAGAUACAUGUUCUUGCAUGGUGCACAGAAACCAAUCUUUUUCACUAGUCCCUUCACUAGACUGCCCUGAAGUUUGCUAAAUGCUGGUGUAUGCUGAUGCAUGGUGUACAGAGAAGCCAACCUCUUUACUAGUCCUACUGACAUCUACCAGAGAAGCCAACCUCUUCAAUGAUAAUACUGAAACGUCUGCCAACUAGUUGAUAAAAUGCAUGGUCCUGUAUCUUGCACGG